GAUGAACGCUGGCGGCGUGCCUAAUACAUGCAAGUCGAGCGAUCGGACGAGAAGCUUGCUUCUCUGAUGUUAGCGGCGGACGGGCGAGUAACACGUGGAUAACCUACCUAUAAGACUGGGAUAACUUCGGGAAACCGGAGCUAAUACCGGAUAAUAUUUUGAACCGCAUGGUUCAAAAGUGAAAGACGGUCUUGCUGUCACUUAUAGAUGGAUCCGCGCUGCAUUAGCUAGUUGGUAAGGUAACGGCUUACCAAGGCAACGAUGCAUAGCCGACCUGAGAGGGUGAUCGGCCACACUGGAACUGAGACACGGUCCAGACUCCUACGGGAGGCAGCAGUAGGGAAUCUUCCGCAAUGGGCGAAAGCCUGACGGAGCAACGCCGCGUGAGUGAUGAAGGUCUUCGGAUCGUAAAACUCUGUUAUUAGGGAAGAACAUAUGUGUAAGUAACUGUGCACAUCUUGACGGUACCUAAUCAGAAAGCCACGGCUAACUACGU
Molecule: ribosomal RNA, 496 nt
Filed under: uncultured bacterium
Lineage: Bacteria
Description: partial 16S ribosomal RNA
Rfam family: Bacterial small subunit ribosomal RNA
Source: RNAcentral